RNAcentral lists this long non-coding RNA (759 nucleotides) under Callithrix jacchus (white-tufted-ear marmoset). RNAcentral describes it as "lncRNA (ENSCJAG00000071515.1)". The record is from RNAcentral. Lineage: Eukaryota; Metazoa; Chordata; Mammalia; Primates; Cebidae.
UCUGUUGGGGCCAUGCCAGUUCCUCAGCGGCCACAGCUUCUGUCUGCUAAGACCUUAAAAAGGAGACACGGAUUGGGCCUCCUCUAGACUCUGAGCCCUGGGAGGGGGGUUGGCGGCCUCCAUCUCUGGAGGUCCUCACAUCCGCCUGGAAGUGGGCACCACCACCCCCUUUACAGAAACUGAAAGGCCAGGGUCAAAUGCUUGGUGGAGUCAGAGCCGAGAUUUAAACACACGUCUCCUGACGAUUUUAACUGUGGUCCUUGCUGGCAGCUGAACAGCACGGUGAUGUGGUAGGCAUGCCGUUCUCAGGAAACUUCAUCGCGAAAUUCUAGUUUAAAAUGUCAUUUACUUACUGAAACUCUCCAGCUUGAUUUUUAAACGGAUCAUGCUCCUUUAAGUUCAGGGCAGUUAGCAGCCGUGACGUGGAGCCAUCCGGCGUGUGAAUUGGGCUUUUGAGCUCUGCUUUCUACCUGGGCAUGUUGGCUAUCAGGCAGGAUUUUGAGUCGCACAUUGUGCCCAGAAGACCCAGAGGGCCUUAAAUCACUUGAGGCUGUGGCAUGUACGGUUGCUGGUGCCAACAUAAACAGCCUGUGUGUUUUCCCAGCAUGGAGACACGAAGCUGGCCCUGACGGCCUGAGAGCCAUCCCGAAUGAAAGGCAGUAAGAGUGACACGGACUCGCCAGCCUAUUUCGUUGUCAUUUUUACGAACGAUCCUCUUCUAUUUUUCACCUGCAACGUAUCGGUGUCAUCAGAGCCCAG